GAUGAACGCUGACAGAAUGCUUAACACAUGCAAGUCUACUUGAAUUUGGGUUUUUUAACUUCGAUUUGGGUGGCGGACGGGUGAGUAACGCGUAAAGAACUUGCCUCACAGCUAGGGACAACAUUUGGAAACGAAUGCUAAUACCUGAUAUUAUGAUUAUAGGGCAUCCUAGAAUUAUGAAAGCUAUAUGCGCUGUGAGAGAGCUUUGCGUCCCAUUAGCUAGUUGGAGAGGUAACGGCUCACCAAGGCGAUGAUGGGUAGCCGGCCUGAGAGGGUGAACGGCCACAAGGGGACUGAGACACGGCCCUUACUCCUACGGGAGGCAGCAGUGGGGAAUAUUGGACAAUGGACCGAGAGUCUGAUCCAGCAAUUCUGUGUGCACGAUGACGUUUUUCGGAAUGUAAAGUGCUUUCAGUUGGGAAGAAAAAAAUGACGGUACCAACAGAAGAAGUGACGGCUAAAUACGUGCCAGCAGCCGCGGUAAUACGUAUGUCACGAGCGUUAUCCGGAUUUAUUGGGCGUAAAGCGCGUCUAGGUGGUUAUGUAAGUCUGAUGUGAAAAUGCAGGGCUCAACUCUGUAUUGCGUUGGAAACUGUGUAACUAGAGUACUGGAGAGGUAAGCGGAACUACAAGUGUAGAGGUGAAAUUCGUAGAUAUUUGUAGGAAUGCCGAUGGGAAGCCAGCUUACUGGACAGAUACUGACGCUGAAGCGCGAAAGCGGGGUAGCAAACAGG
This 734-nucleotide ribosomal RNA is filed under the name uncultured Fusobacterium sp. RNAcentral's name for it is "bacterial SSU rRNA". It matches the Rfam family "Bacterial small subunit ribosomal RNA", at positions 28 to 776 of the family's 1533-position model. Lineage: Bacteria; Fusobacteriati; Fusobacteriota; Fusobacteriia; Fusobacteriales; Fusobacteriaceae. The record is from RNAcentral.